UACGGGGGGGGCAAGCGUUGUUCGGAAUUACUGGGCGUAAAGGGCUCGUAGGCGGCCAACUAAGUCAGACGUGAAAUCCCUCGGCUUAACCGGGGAACUGCGUCUGAUACUGGAUGGCUUGAGAUUGGGAGAGGGAUGCGGAAUUCCAGGUGUAGCGGUGAAAUGCGUAGAUAUCGUAAGGAAGACCAGUGGCGAAGGCGGGUCUCUGGACAGUUCCUGACGCUGAGGCACGAAGGUCAGGGGAGCAAACGGG
This 253-nucleotide ribosomal RNA is filed under the name uncultured bacterium. Its description in RNAcentral is "partial 16S ribosomal RNA". It matches the Rfam family "Bacterial small subunit ribosomal RNA", at positions 524 to 776 of the family's 1533-position model. The record is from RNAcentral.